Molecule: ribosomal RNA, 465 nt
Filed under: Vreelandella stevensii
Lineage: Bacteria; Pseudomonadati; Pseudomonadota; Gammaproteobacteria; Oceanospirillales; Halomonadaceae
Description: partial 16S ribosomal RNA
Rfam family: Bacterial small subunit ribosomal RNA
Source: RNAcentral
CCUCGGGGGGCAGCAGUGGGGAAUAUUGGACAAUGGGCGAAAGCCUGAUCCAGCCAUGCCGCGUGUGUGAAGAAGGCCUUCGGGUUGUAAAGCACUUUCAGUGGGGAAGAAAGCCUUGGGGCUAAUACCCUCGAGGAAGGACAUCACCCACAGAAGAAGCACCGGCUAACUCCGUGCCAGCAGCCGCGGUAAUACGGAGGGUGCGAGCGUUAAUCGGAAUUACUGGGCGUAAAGCGCGCGUAGGCGGUCUGAUAAGCCGGUUGUGAAAGCCCCGGGCUCAACCUGGGAACGGCAUCCGGAACUGUCAGGCUAGAGUGCAGGAGAGGAAGGUAGAAUUCCCGGUGUAGCGGUGAAAUGCGUAGAGAUCGGGAGGAAUACCAGUGGCGAAGGCGGCCUUCUGGACUGACACUGACGCUGAGGUGCGAAAGCGUGGGUAGCAAACAGGAUUAGAUACCCCGAGUAGUC